AACGAACGCUGGCGGCGCGCCUAAUACAUGCAAGUCGAGCGAGAAGACGUAGCAAUACGUUUGUAAAGCGGCGAACGGGUGAGGAAUACAUGGGUAACCUACCCUCGAGUGGGGAAUAACUAGCCGAAAGGUUAGCUAAUACCGCGUACGCUCCUUGGACUUCGGUUCAGGGAGGAAAGCGAUACCGUGGGUAUCGCGCUCUUGGAUGGGCUCAUGUCCUAUCAGCUUGUUGGUGAGGUAACGGCUCACCAAGGCUUCGACGGGUAGCUGGUCUGAGAGGACGAUCAGCCACACUGGCACUGCGACACGGGCCAGACUCCUACGGGAGGCAGCAGUGGGGAAUUGUUCGCAAUGGGCGCAAGCCUGACGACGCAACGCCGCGUGGAGGAUGAAGGUCUUCGGAUUGUAAACUCCUGUUGCUCGGGACGAAAUGCUCCAGCCUAACACGUUGGAGUUUGACGGUACCGGGUGAGGAAGCCCCGGCUAACUCUGUGCCAGCAGCC
RNAcentral lists this ribosomal RNA (503 nucleotides) under uncultured bacterium. RNAcentral describes it as "bacterial SSU rRNA". It matches the Rfam family "Bacterial small subunit ribosomal RNA", at positions 29 to 516 of the family's 1533-position model. The record is from RNAcentral.